UUAGUGACGCGCAUGAAUGGAUU
RNAcentral lists this non-coding RNA (23 nucleotides) under Chlamydomonas reinhardtii. The record is from RNAcentral. Lineage: Eukaryota; Viridiplantae; Chlorophyta; Chlorophyceae; Chlamydomonadales; Chlamydomonadaceae. RNAcentral also lists the same sequence under 5 other names.